RNAcentral lists this long non-coding RNA (807 nucleotides) under Dermacentor andersoni. RNAcentral's name for it is "uncharacterized LOC126547869". Lineage: Eukaryota; Metazoa; Arthropoda; Arachnida; Ixodida; Ixodidae. The record is from RNAcentral.
GUAGUGCGGUCCACACGCGCUUUCUUUGUGCCCGGCUCAUGAGAAGUGUUGUACUCUCGCCGCUCCCGCAUCGGCUCACAGUGCACGGAAGAAUGUGUUGAUAGUUGUGCUAUCGCGUACUGUAGUUCACCGCAAUUCAACACUACGUUGGACGGACUGUUGGUGCAGUCGAUGCGGCGUGAACGGACACGAAGGAGCGCUCGCCUCAGAAGGGAUGUCACAAUUUCCUGAGACGGAGGCAUCUCUGCACCACAAAGGAGACUGCGGCACUAUGCAGCCUGAACAGCACGACAAAGCAUCUGAUCUGCCUGCUUUGACAAGAUGUGGCUGGGCCUGCAGAAAGAGUGUAAGCACACUACUGUGUUGCUGAUCAGUGCUGGUGCUGAUCUCUACGUCUGAGUUGGCCUCACAACGUCCAGGCGCCACUGUGCUUUGCUUCAUUGACAAGGUGUGGCUGGGCCUGCAGAAAAGCUGUAAGCAGACUGCAGUGUUGCUGAUCAGUGCUGAUCUCCACGUCCGAGUUGGUCCCACAAUAUCCAGGCACCACGGUGCUUUCACAAGGUUCACAAUCGAAAUGGGUUAUUUAUUUGUGCUAGUAAGUGGAUGUGGGUAAACCAAGCCAAAACGGACAGCACGUUUGCCUGGGAGAUUGCCCGAUGCUUGUGGCAGGCACAGGAAUUAAUCCACAGGAGUGUUACGAGCAAAAGUAUGUAUGCGAAAGCUAAAGGAAGGUGGCGAGGCCAAGCCAGCGUUGACACCACAAAAUCUUGGUGCAUAUCUAAGUAAGUAGACCCUGUCCUGCUAGCU